RNAcentral lists this ribosomal RNA (741 nucleotides) under Chlorella sp. KAERI-NJ24. RNAcentral's name for it is "eukaryotic LSU rRNA". The stretch from base 281 to 434 matches the Rfam family "5.8S ribosomal RNA". The record is from RNAcentral. Lineage: Eukaryota; Viridiplantae; Chlorophyta; Trebouxiophyceae; Chlorellales; Chlorellaceae.
CGUAGGUGAACCUGCGGAAGGAUCAUUGUAUCAAUCGAAUCCACUCUGGUAACCAACCGUCACCCUCGGCGGCGAGGCGUCCUUCGGGGCGCCCCGCCCUCGGGCGCCGGUCCCCCGGCUGGGGUCCCUCGGGACCGCAGUUGGGUCCGGCGGGUGCCUCCCCACUCCCCGUGGGGCUGGCAUCGGUAAUUCAUAUCCAACUCAACACACCCCAAACCUCAACCUCCUCUGAAGCAACCGUGGCAGCCGGCUCCGCCGCCUGUCCACUCAAACCAAAGACAACUCUCAACAACGGAUAUCUUGGCUCCCGUAUCGAUGAAGAACGCAGCGAAAUGCGAUACGUAGUGUGAAUUGCAGAAUUCCGUGAACCAUCGAAUCUUUGAACGCAAAUUGCGCCCGAGGCUUCGGCCGAGGGCAUGUCUGCCUCAGCGUCGGUAUACCCCCUCGCCCUCUCCUCCCCCUGUGGGAUCAGAGGCGCGGACCUGGCCCUCCCGGCUCCGCCUCCCUUCGGGGCGGCGUCCGGGUGGGCUGAAGCACAGAGGCUUGAGCAUGGACCCCGUUUGCAGGGCAAUGGCUUGGUAGGUAGGCACCCCCUACGCAGCCUGCCGUUGCCCGAGGGGACUUUGCUGGCGGCCCAGCAGGAAUUCGGGUCGGCGUCCUGCGCCGGCUCGAACACUCUUACCUUCGACCUGAGCUCAGGCAAGACUACCCGCUGAACUUAAGCAUAUCAAUAAGCGGAGG